GACGAGCGCUGGCGGCGUGCUUAACACAUGCAAGUCGAACGGAAAGGCCCUGCUUUUGUGGGGUGCUCGAGUGGCGAACGGGUGAGUAACACGUGAGUAACCUGCCCUUGACUUUGGGAUAACUUCAGGAAACUGGGGCUAAUACCGGAUAGGAGCUCCUGCUGCAUGGUGGGGGUUGGAAAGUUUCGGCGGUUGGGGAUGGACUCGCGGCUUAUCAGCUUGUUGGUGGGGUAGUGGCUUACCAAGGCUUUGACGGGUAGCCGGCCUGAGAGGGUGACCGGCCACAUUGGGACUGAGAUACGGCCCAGACUCCUACGGGAGGCAGCAGUGGGGAAUAUUGCACAAUGGGCGGAAGCCUGAUGCAGCAACGCCGCGUGCGGGAUGACGGCCUUCGGGUUGUGAACCGCUUUCGCCUGUGACGAAGCGUGAGUGACGGUAAUGGGUAAAGAAGCACCGGCUAACUACGUG
This 468-nucleotide ribosomal RNA is filed under the name uncultured bacterium. RNAcentral describes it as "partial 16S ribosomal RNA". It matches the Rfam family "Bacterial small subunit ribosomal RNA", at positions 28 to 507 of the family's 1533-position model. The record is from RNAcentral.